GAUGAACGCUGGCGGCGUGCCUAAUACAUGCAAGUCGAGCGAACAGACGAGGAGCUUGCUCCUCUGACGUUAGCGGCGGACGGGUGAGUAACACGUGUAUAACCUACCUAUAAGACUGGGAUAACUUCGGGAAACCGGAGCUAAUACCGGAUAAUAUAUUGAACCGCAUGGUUCAAUAGUGAAAGACGGUUUUGCUGGCACUUAUAGAUGGAUCCGCGCCGCAUUAGCUAGUUGGUAAGGUAACGGCUUACCAAGGCAACGAUGCGUAGACGACGUGAGAGGGUGAUCGGCCACACUGGAACUGAGCCACGGUCAAGACUCCUACGGGAGGCAGCAGUAGGGAAUCUUCCGCAAUGGGCGAAAGCUUGACGGAGCAACGCCGCGUGAGUGAUGACGGUCUUCGGAUCGUAAAACUCUGUUAUUAGGGAAGAACCAAUGUGUAAGUAACUAUGCACGUCUUGACGGUACCUAAUCAGAAAGCCACGGCUAACUACGUG
This 497-nucleotide ribosomal RNA is filed under the name uncultured bacterium. Its description in RNAcentral is "partial 16S ribosomal RNA". It matches the Rfam family "Bacterial small subunit ribosomal RNA", at positions 28 to 507 of the family's 1533-position model. The record is from RNAcentral.